CUACGGGACGCAGCAGUGAGGAAUAUUGCACAAUUUUUUCCCCCCUUCUGCAGCAACUCCGCGUGGAGGAUGACGCAUUUCGGUGUGUAAACUCCUUUUAUAUGUCAAGAAAAUGACGGUAGCAUAUGAAUAAGCACCGGCUAACUCCGUGCCAGCAGCCGCGGUAAUACGGAGGGUGCAAGCGUUACUCGGAAUCACUGGGCGUAAAGGACGCGUAGGCGGGUUGUCAAGUCAGGUGUGAAAUCCUACAGCUUAACUGUAGAACUGCACUUGAAACUGGCAGCCUAGAGUAUGGGAGGGGGAGAUGGAAUUAGUAGUGUAGGGGUAAAAUCCGUAGAUAUUACUAGGAAUAUCAAAAGCGAAGGCGAUCUCCUGGAACAUUACUGACGCUAAGGCGUGAAAGCGUGGGGAGCAAACAGGAUUAGAUACCCUAGUAGUC
This 439-nucleotide ribosomal RNA is filed under the name uncultured bacterium. RNAcentral describes it as "partial 16S ribosomal RNA". It matches the Rfam family "Bacterial small subunit ribosomal RNA", at positions 339 to 795 of the family's 1533-position model. The record is from RNAcentral.